RNAcentral lists this ribosomal RNA (509 nucleotides) under uncultured bacterium. Its description in RNAcentral is "partial 16S ribosomal RNA". It matches the Rfam family "Bacterial small subunit ribosomal RNA", at positions 28 to 523 of the family's 1533-position model. The record is from RNAcentral.
GACGAACGCUGGCGGCGUGCUUAACACAUGCAAGUGGUGCGACGAACCAGGCUUCGGCCUGGGGCAGAGCCGCGAACGGGUGAGUAACACGUGGGCACCCUGCCCUGUUGAUCGGGACAACCCGGGGAAACCCGGGCUAAUACCGAAUGUGGUGCCGGCUCACGGGAGCCGUCACGAAAGGAAGCUUCGGCAUCCGCGACCGGCUGUGCCCGCGGCCCGUUAGCUUGUUGGUGGGGUAAUGGCCUACCAAGGCAACGAUGGGUAGCUGGUCUGAGAGGACGAUCAGCCACACUGGGACUGAGACACGGCCCAGACUCCUACGGGAGGCUGCAGUGGGGAAUCUUGCGCAAUGGGCGACAGCUUGACGCAGCAACGCCGCGUGGGGGAAGAAGGCUUUCGGGUCGUAAACCCCUUGCAGUUAGGACGAAGCUUUACUGGUUAAUAACCAAUUGGAGUGACGGUACUUUCAGAAGAAGCCCCGGCUAACUACGUGCCAGCCGCCGCGGUAA